Molecule: long non-coding RNA, 2050 nt
Organism: Piliocolobus tephrosceles (Ugandan red Colobus)
Lineage: Eukaryota; Metazoa; Chordata; Mammalia; Primates; Cercopithecidae
Exons: 3
Source: RefSeq, a predicted model, not a curated record
AACAUCAACCCCUGACCUAAACUACUUGUGUUUUCUGUAAAUUCCAGAUACUGUAUGAAAAAAGCAUUGUAAAAUUUUUGUUCUGUUAGCUGAGGCAUGUAGCCCCCAGUCACGUUUCCCAUGCUUGCUCGAUUUAUCACGAUCCUUUCCCGUGGACCCCUUAAAGUUGUAAGCCUUUAAAAUGGCCAAGAAUUUAUUUUUUGGGGAGCUUGGCUCUUAAGACAGAGUCUGCCGACGCUCCCAGCCAAACAAAAAACCUCUUCCUUCUUUAAUCCGGUGUCUGAGGAGUUUUGUCUGCGGCUCGUCUUGCUACACCUCAGCCUUUGAGUAGCCAGAACUACAAGCAGGCAACACCCACUGGGCUAAUUUUCUAUAUUUGUAGAGAUGGGGUCGGCCUAUAUUGCCCAGGCUGGACUUGAUCUCCUGAGCUCAAGGGAUCCUCCCACCUCGGCCUCCAAAAGUGCAGGGAUUACAGGCAUGAACCACUGUGCCUGGUCCACGUGUAUUUACUGUGCUUUUUAUUGUUGGUAUUUCCCCUUCCAUACCUGUGUUCCAUUUAGUAUACUGAGGUUUUCUUUGGUUGGUUAAAAGUUAUAUAUUCUAGUUUCCUUCUAGGGUGGCUGCCCUUAACCUAUGACUCAUACCAAUAUGUAUCACAUUUAUUGGUAUUAAUGGUUUUGUUUUAUUCCUAAUUUUAGAAGUAUCAGCAUGUUUUCCUAUUCCUUUUGCGUGCCACCUCCAGCCCCAUUUUCCUGAUAUCUUUCCUAGCUGUAAUUCCCGGUUAUUCUUAGCUACACUUCCUUGUUUCUGCGAUCCUAACUUCACAUUUCCCUUGUUGUGAGAUAACAGUAAUCUGGAACAGAUUCUUUGGUCAAGUCCUCCUCGGUUCUCUUGUGGCAUCUCCUGUGUUUCUCUUGCUAUUGAGGUACCUUCGUCUAAACUAUUUCCAACUUGGAUCUUCAGGAGGCAAAUAUCCUUCAGGUUUUCUAUCAUUUCAAAUAUUUCUAAUACACUGUGUUGGGCAGGAUUCGGAAGCUGCCCCUUCAAGUUUCCUGUACCUUUUUUAGAACGAUAUGUUCUAGAAAACACUGAUGAUAGGACAACUAACCACUGUCUUAGCCUGUUUGAUCGAGCCUGGAGCGUACCAGCCGCAGGAAAAUCCAGUAUUUUAAGCAAGGAAGGAAGGAGUAUGAAAGUGGGAAUGGAAACGGGAAAGAAAAGGGGGCCAGGAAGAAGGGGAUGGAGAGAAUAAGGGCUGAGGGGCCUAGACAAACCAGCUGCUCCUAGUCUAGGCACCGCUAGUCUAGGUACUGUGAGUCUAGGCACCGCUAGUCUAAGUACUGUGAGUCUAGGCACCGCUAGUCUAGGUACUGUGAGUCUAGGCACCGCUAGUCUAGGCUCUGCACAUUCAUAAUUAAAACUACUAAUCAGUUGACCUUAAAAAGAGAGAUUUUCCUGGAUUCUCUGAGUGGGCCCAGUGUCAUUACAUGAGCUCUAAAAAGCUGAGAAUUUUCUCAGGCUGGAGCCAAGAAAGAUACAUCUGAUGUCAGAGAGAUUCUAAGCAUGAGAAGGAUUCCAUGCACUGUUGCUGACCCUGAGAUGUGGGGGCCGUGAGCAAGACUGGAGAGGGGCCUCUAGGAGUUAGGGAAGGGUCACAGCUGACAGUCCGCAGGGAAGCUGAGACCUCAGUACCGCAGAUCCAAGGACUGGAUUCUGCCAGCAACCUGAAUGUACUUCGCAGCAGAGGCUUCCAAAACCUCCCAAUCAGAGCCCAGCGGGUGGACACCUUGACCUUGACCUUGAGGAACUGGGAGCAGAGAAACCAAUCAAGCCAUCUCAGACUUGUAACCUAGAGGACUGUGAAAUAAUAAAGAUGUACUGAUUUAAGUAGGACCUGGACUAAGGAGUGGAUUCACCAGAGGAAAUUAUAUUUCAUGAGAUGGAACAUUCUGGGAAUGCUGACACUCAGCAGACCCCUGACUAUAUCAAAAGCUCUCACUGUGUCACCCAGUCUGGAGUGCAGUGGCAUCACCUCAACCCCCUGCAACCU